This 264-nucleotide RNase P RNA is filed under the name Methanomassiliicoccales archaeon. Its description in RNAcentral is "RNase P RNA component". It matches the Rfam family "Archaeal RNase P". From Rfam's summary of the family: Ribonuclease P (RNase P) is a ubiquitous endoribonuclease, found in archaea, bacteria and eukarya as well as chloroplasts and mitochondria. Lineage: Archaea; Methanobacteriati; Thermoplasmatota; Thermoplasmata; Methanomassiliicoccales. The record is from RNAcentral.
AGGAGACCGUGGGCGGCUGACGGUGCUUAUGCGCUGAGGAAAGUCCCCCCUCCACUUCAAGUGUGGAUCGACGCAAGUCGGUGGCUCGAGAGGGUCGGCAAGGGCGCAGAAACGACACAGCCCGCAAUUAGGAUGAAUCGGUUGCCGAGGACGUUGUUGCGGGAUCUGGUGAGACGGCGACACCCCACUGGAGCAAGUCCAAAUUGUGGUAGGACGCUAAGUCGAAUGCCGCUUAAAACAGAAGGGGGCUUACGGCGGUGACCU